RNAcentral lists this unclassified non-coding RNA (333 nucleotides) under uncultured fungus. RNAcentral's name for it is "sequence contains ITS1". The stretch from base 1 to 107 matches the Rfam family "5.8S ribosomal RNA", at positions 50 to 154 of the family's 154-position model. Lineage: Eukaryota; Fungi. The record is from RNAcentral.
GAAAUGCGAUACUUGGUGUGAAUUGCAGAAUCCCGUGAACCAUCGAGUCUUUGAACGCAAGUUGCGCCCCAAGCCUUUAGGCCGAGGGCACGUCUGCCUGGGUGUCACAAAUCGUCGUCCCCAUCCUUUGCGGAGAAGGGACGGAAGUUGGUCUCCCGUGUGUUACCGCACGCGGUUGACCUAAAUCUGAGCUGAGGACGUCUUGGAGCGUCUCGACAUGCGGUGGUGAAUUAAAGCCUCGUCAUUUCGUCGGUUGCUCCAGUCCGAAUGCUCUCGAUGACCCUAUGUCCUUCACGCGACCCCAGGUCAGGCGGGAUCACCCGCUGAGUUUAA